AUUGAACGCUGGCGGCAUGCUUUACACAUGCAAGUCGAACGGCAGCACAGGGAGCUUGCUCCCGGGUGGCGAGUGGCGCACGGGUGAGUAAUACAUCGGAACGUGUCCUGUUGUGGGGGGAUAACUGCUCGAAAGGGUGGCUAAUACCGCAUGAGACCUGAGGGUGAAAGCGGGGGAUCGCAAGACCUCGCGCAAUUGGAGCGGCCGAUGCCCGAUUAGCUAGUUGGUGAGGUAAAGGCUCACCAAGGCGACGAUCGGUAGCUGGUCUGAGAGGACGACCAGCCACACUGGGACUGAGACACGGCCCAGACUCCUACGGGAGGCAGCAGUGGGGAAUAUUGCACAAUGGGGGAAACCCUGAUGCAGCGACGCCGCGUGGAGGAAGAAGGUCUUCGGAUUGUAAACUCCUGUUGUUGAGGAAGAUAAUGACGGUACUCAACAAGGAAGUGACGGCUAACUACGUG
RNAcentral lists this ribosomal RNA (464 nucleotides) under uncultured bacterium. RNAcentral describes it as "bacterial SSU rRNA". It matches the Rfam family "Bacterial small subunit ribosomal RNA", at positions 29 to 507 of the family's 1533-position model. The record is from RNAcentral.